This is a long non-coding RNA of Callithrix jacchus (white-tufted-ear marmoset), 1231 nucleotides long. RefSeq lists it as uncharacterized. NCBI's taxonomy places the organism in Eukaryota, Metazoa, Chordata, Mammalia, Primates, Cebidae. The record is from RefSeq and is a predicted model, not a curated record.
UCCGGAGGCCGGUGCGCCGAGGGCAGGCAGAGCCACGAGUUGCGUGGAGUCCCCGAGUGCAUUAGCGGGAGAGCCCCAGGCGUGGGACAGAGCGGUGGAGGGGCGCCUGGGAGCCCUGCGGGACACCAAGAGAGGCGAGGGUGGGGCUACUGCACAGCAAACAGGGAGGAACUACGGUGCGCUGGGUAGAAAGAGUAAGAGAGAGACGCACGCACUUUGCUGGUGAGGGGUCACAGGAAGAGCUUAAGAAAGGCUUAAAGAGGUAGCGGGUGUGAGCUAGCCUCCGGCUGGCGCGUUGGAAAGGGGAUGCAGGAAGGAGGCCAAGAGAGGGAGCCGGGUGUAGGAAGAAGCGAGAAGGAAUGCUUGCUCGGACAGAGCCUGCGGUGCCAAAUCGUGAAAACCGCGGGUUAAGGAGGGGCAUCAGGAAUGGCCUGGGGACCCCCGGAAAGUGGCGUAAGCGGUGCCGUUGGGCGCAGCAAAGAGAGAAGGGAGCACACGCUGAGACAGAGACAGUCCUGGGCGCUGGAGAGCAGGAGCCCCCUGCGCAGCAGGGAAGGAAACGUAGAGCCUCCGCGCUCAGAGAAAGGGACUUACUGAUGCCCACUAGGGUGGCGCACAUUGGGGCUCUAGAAAAGAGGGUUGAGAACCCCCGGGUGAGUGCCUAGGAAAGUCAGAGGAGUCAGCAAAGUCCACGGAAGAACUUCCCCCAGUUGGAGAGGAAACGCACCCUGGGAGCUGGAAGGGAGAGGAGAACCUGGCUGGGGGAAGCUUGAUCAGGCUCUGAGCACCACGAGGAGUGCAGAGGAGGUGCGGAUAAUUGCGGGAAGAGCUCUGAGAGCCCGAGAAAGAUGGGGAAACUGAAGCCCUAGAGGAAAAGAAGACUCAAUGUAUUACCAUCUGACGCACUUCCUGCUAGCUCUGUUCGUCUAUCUGCUGUUCUUCAUUGUUGAAUCAACUGUCCACAUUUUAAAAUUGGGAGAUGUCACAUAAACAUGGAAAAACUUUGGCCUUCAAAAAAUGGAAAGUUCUGGCCACUCGGGACCUGUGUUUCUACUGACAAGAAUAAUGAGCCAUAGACUGCUUUGCAUGAGGUAUGUGCUUCUUGAGUUGCCCCAAACACUAACACCCUUGGUUCCCACUCUCUGCUUUUCUUUCUAAUUCAUGCCAUCUGCCAUCUGAUGGUCUUUUAGCUUCUGAGCUGCAGUCUAAGUACUUUCAUUGAUUGGAUCAU